Molecule: ribosomal RNA, 253 nt
Filed under: uncultured bacterium
Lineage: Bacteria
Description: partial 16S ribosomal RNA
Rfam family: Bacterial small subunit ribosomal RNA
Source: RNAcentral
UACGUAGGGUGCAAGCGUUGUCCGGAAUUAUUGGGCGUAAAGCGCGCGUAGGCGGCCAGAUAAGUCCGGUGUGAAAGUCACAGGCUCAACCUGUGAAUGCCGCUGGAAACUGUCUGGCUAGAGUCCGGAAGGGGCGAGUGGAAUUCCUGGUGUAGCGGUGAAAUGCGUAGAUAUCGGGAGGAACACCUGUGGCGAAGGCGGCCCCCUGGUUGGAUACUGACGCUGAUACGCGAAAGCGUGGGGAGCAAACAGG